This 495-nucleotide ribosomal RNA is filed under the name uncultured bacterium. RNAcentral describes it as "partial 16S ribosomal RNA". It matches the Rfam family "Bacterial small subunit ribosomal RNA", at positions 28 to 507 of the family's 1533-position model. The record is from RNAcentral.
GACGAACGCUGGCGGCGUGCCUAAUACAUGCAAGUAGAACGCUGAAGGGGGAGCUUGCUCUUCUGGAUGAGUUGCGAACGGGUGAGUAACGCGUAGGUAACCUGCCUGGUAGUGGGGGAUAACUAUUGGAAACGAUAGCUAAUACCGCAUAAUAACAGUUGUUGCAUGACAACUGUUUGAAAGGUGCAAUUGCAUCACUACCAGAUGGACCUGCGUUGUAUUAGCUAGUUGGUGGGGUAACGGCUCACCAAGGCGACGAUACAUAGCCGACCUGAGAGGGUGAUCGGCCACACUGGGACUGAGACACGGCCCAGACUCCUACGGGAGGCAGCAGUAGGGAAUCUUCGGCAAUGGACGAAAGUCUGACCGAGCAACGCCGCGUGAGUGAAGAAGGUUUUCGGAUCGUAAAGCUCUGUUGUAAGAGAAGAACGAGUGUGAGAGUGGAAAGUUCACACUGUGACGGUAUCUUACCAGAAAGGGACGGCUAACUACGUG